This 72-nucleotide transfer RNA is filed under the name Camelus bactrianus (Bactrian camel). It matches the Rfam family "tRNA". Rfam says of the family: Transfer RNA (tRNA) molecules are approximately 80 nucleotides in length. Their secondary structure includes four short double-helical elements and three loops (D, anti-codon, and T loops). Further hydrogen bonds mediate the characteristic L-shaped molecular structure. tRNAs have two regions of fundamental functional importance: the anti-codon, which is responsible for specific mRNA codon recognition, and the 3' end, to which the tRNAs corresponding amino acid is attached (by aminoacyl-tRNA synthetases). tRNAs cope with the degeneracy of the genetic code in two manners: having more than one tRNA (with a specific anti-codon) for a particular amino acid; and 'wobble' base-pairing, i.e. permitting non-standard base-pairing at the 3rd anti-codon position. Lineage: Eukaryota; Metazoa; Chordata; Mammalia; Artiodactyla; Camelidae. RNAcentral also lists the same sequence under 2 other names. The record is from Rfam by way of RNAcentral.
GAAGGUAUAGCUCAGUGGUAGGGUGAGUGCUUAGCAUGCUCAAGGUCCUGAGUUCAAUCCCCAGUACCUCUA